Long non-coding RNA from Diceros bicornis minor, 4702 nucleotides. RefSeq lists it as uncharacterized. The record is from RefSeq and is a predicted model, not a curated record. The transcript has 19 exons. Lineage: Eukaryota; Metazoa; Chordata; Mammalia; Perissodactyla; Rhinocerotidae.
GUAUCCCAAUCCCCCGCCCAGGUGAGUUUCCUUACAAGACAUUGAGGGAAUUUCAUGGCCAGCUUGUGUGUGUGCCGCUUUGCUGCCAAUCUCAGAAAAGCUAACCCUUCACUCGAAGCUAGAAAACAUAAGGGCUCCAGGUUAUCUGCUCCCCUCCCUCGCCAUGCCCAGCCAGCGAUGACUGCUCCAGGUGUCUGCUCCUGUCCUGCAAGGUCUCUAGGCUUUCCCAGGGUUCAGCCACCUCCUGAGGUCAUGGGGCUGGGCAGGGGCAGCACAGGGCCUCUGACCAAGGUCAACCGUCUCUGGGAUCUGUGCUCUUAUCCACUGUGCUAUAUUGGCUCUGCAGAGGUGAGGCCUGGCAGGGAGAGGGAGAAGCACAGGCUGGAGCCUUUCCUCCUGCCAAGCUUCUUCGCUUGUCAGGACACGCAGGCAGUUUUAAACGUGAAAUUUCCAAAGUGGCGUGGGUGGGCAGUCUGGUGGCCUGGGAUACUUGGAGGUGUCCACACUGCCCUAAUGGAAAUGCCUUGGUAUUACAAAGACCUGUGCAGGUAACCGGGUUUCAUAAAAUAUAUGUUGCCCUCAGCUAAAAAGGCUUUGAAAAAUAGACUAGCUGUUGUGUAUCUAUGCCAGGUUAAUAGGGAUAUGGCCUGGCUCAGUGAAUUUUGCUGGUUCUUGGUUCCCUGCUCCCUGCAGGCUGAGUUUUCGCCCUGCAGCACCAUCUGAGAAUCAGGAAGCAGAGAUGCUGGCAUGAAGCUGGCUGUGAGAGCAGGAGUUGGGGUCACGGUGCAGAAGGAAAGCUGAUGCCCAGCAGGACCCUGCAUUCCAGGCACCUGUAGUCAGGUAGGGGAAGAAGAGGCCGGUACACAAACAGGUGAAAUGAAAGGAGGUCAUGACAGAGGUGGAGGACAGAGUCCCCUGCCUCCCCACUCAUGGAGGCACAUGGGAAUGAGGAACCCUGGGCUUCAGAUGCUAGUUUCUCAGCAAGGACACAGCAGACACAGGGCUUGGAUUGUCAGUGUGAUGUUCCCUCCUUGUCCAUGGUAAUGAUGGCAUGUCUGGCAUACGAAGGUGUUUGAGUUGUGGUGAGAAAUGGAUAUCCCAGGGCAGCUGUGGGAGGGACAUCACUCCAUGCCGCCCAGACAUGGGAAGGGCACCCCUGGAGGAAUGAACACAGUCUCUGCGCUCAAACAUACCCCUCCAAUGCAGGCUGCCAAGAGAAGUUGUCCCAGGGCUGCCAAGCAGUUCUGCGGGGUUCAAGUCAGCCAGCUCAAGCUCCUGUCCUCAAAACCAUUCCACCUGCAAAUCUUGUCAGUACAAGGAAGGCUGCCAUUUGUGGUCAAUCAUGCGAGCCCUUGUUGCUUUGGUCCUCUCUACCAAUGAUGGUCACUUAAGUCGGGGAGGGCUAGGACUACACGAUUCAUAGAACAAACAACUUCCUCCCUUGGCCAAAAUGGGGACACAUGAACUAACAACUCAGUGUUUUCCAGCAAUCAACUGGAAAGAAUAUCGGUAAUCUAGCACUGUUUGGUCACCAAACUACAUACCUAGGCUCCUUCCAACUCUAAGCAAAACAUAGGAUUAACGAAGUGAAGUAUACGACUUUUGUCAGUAAUUGUAAAGGCGUUAAAGUUGCUCCAUUCCAGGCAAAACAACAUCUUAAUGAUCUUUGUUGUCACUUAGGGACGCCCCACCUUUUAACACUGUGUUAACCUGUGAGGUUUCACUUUGGAAACAACAACAAAGGCUUACAAGGCAAAUGACUGUCGAAAUACUUCGUAGUGGUUUGGUGGAUUGUUGCAAUCACAACACUCACUGAAUGCUGUGUCCCUGUUAACACACCCUUUUGUGAUGGGACUUUCUCUCCUCUUCCCUUCAGGGGUUGAAUUUAUUUCCCCAGGCAGUGAUCUUGGGCUGGGUUGUAACUUGUUUCUAUCAAUAGGAUGUUUCAGGUGUGACUUUGCUCACCUUCCUAGGCUAAGCCUUAAGAUGCUUUGCAGUUUCUGCCUUUGCUCUUUUGGAACCUUGAGCUCACCAUGCUCUGAAGGACUCAGGAAUGAAUGACCAAGUGGAGGGAGAGGCCCAACCAGCCUACGGAUUCCUGCCAUUCCAGCUGGAACCUGAUCCAUAUGAGAGAGCACCUUAGACCACCCCAGCUCAGCUGACUGCAGUCACAUGAGUGAGCCCAGACUGUAGUUUGGCAAGAAAUCCCUUGAUAGAUGUUGGACUCUGCUAAAGGUGAACCUGCUCCAAGUGUGUCUCAUCAUGCUCCUGAGACCAAGAGUGCAGGAUGGGAGUACAGGAGGAGAGUCUACACAGCAUGCAGAAGUUGCCACCGACAGCAAGAUUGAGCAGUAGUGACUGAUGGGUCACUCCUGCUAUCUCUUAAUAAUCAAGCAAUGCUAAUUGUCUUCAGGCUAAAACCUCACAGUUUUAGUUUUGUAAAUACAGAAAUCAAUUAGAUCAAAAUUAAUGAGAUUUUGCUGUAUUUACAAUCAAUACCAGUUGUAACAGCUGAAUCAAUCAAAGUAUUGUCAGCCUUCAAGAUGAACACAAUACACAACGUGUCGUGUCUUCCAAUUAGAAUCUGUGAUGUGAAAGCCAUCAAUAAGAACAGAAGAUCCAGUCCUCGAGUGUGACAGGGCCAUUAGCUUGCAAGAGAGCGCAUCUGUGAACUGCUGACUGGUUCAAGAUGAGGAGGAGUGAGCAAAAGAUGCGGAGAGGGUAACAGUUCCUGAUAGUAGCUCCGUACACUCUAUAUAACAUGAAUGGCUGUUGGAUUUGCUUCAUUCAAAAAAGAUAAAGGAAGUUAAAAGAGUCUCUGAAAGAGAGCAGCUGCCCAGAGCUUCAGAAGCAUUGUUCAUGGGGAACGUUGCUUACAUUUUCUCUAGGGACAAGGAGGCUGUGUGGGGUGACAAUAAGUGAGAAUUGUCAGGAUUUGAUUGCAUUGGAAGGAGCAGUUUCAGCCACCAUCAAAUAAGGCCUACAUGGUCCCAAUAUAGGGAGAUUCCUGGAAGAAACUACGUGGACUGCUAGAAAGAGCAUGGCUAUAAUGACAGACCUGACUUUAUGGCUUAGCCACUUACAUGCCAUAUGUCUGUGGGAAACUUAUGAAACUCUUUGAGCCUCUGUUUCCUCAUCUGUAAAAUGGUGAUGAUUAUAUCUACGUCAUGGGGUUAUAAAGAUUAGAGCUUUGCAGAUGGUUGAUACAACCCAUUAUUGGACCAGAAGGAAUUAUUUGGGCCUCCUGCUUCUCAGAUCCCAGUUCCUAGAAAAAUGUUUUGGAGAAUUUGCUGUCACUCCUUUAAGGAUGCCUUUCACUGAGAAGAUUCUAUUUUUGACUUCCUUCAUAUCAGAGGUCAACAUGUUAUGCUCUGCAACUUUCAUAGAGAAAGAUGAAAGGCAAAAUGAGAGUUUAAUUCUGCAGUCUCAAGCAUGGGACCCUGGGCACCCUGGAGUGUGCUGUUCCCCCUUAGACCAGCAGGCAGAUGGUUACAGCAGUGCUGCAAUGCAGCUGUGGGCUUGAUGCUAAUUGGAGUCUUUCCAGAGGUGUGGCAACUCAUGGAGUUAGUGCUACUCAGAAAGAAAGGAGGAAGAAAGAGAGUGGGGAAGGGCAAAAAUCCGCGUGCCAAACUCAGACCCCUUUGACAGUUUUGUUCAGAAACCCUACCCAGUGACCUUUACUUACAUCUCAUUGGCCAGAACUGUCACAUGAAAACCUCUACUCGCAAAGGAGAAUGGGAAGGGAUUUUAGAAGACAGAAAAGUAAUUGUGGAGAAGACACUCUAGGCUUAAGAACUGCUGGAGCAAUGGUAAAGUGGCAUGACAGUGCAGGGCAAGCCCAGGAACUGUCGAGUCGGCCAGCACGUCUGGAGUGGAGGAUAAGUGAAGGCCGUGGGACGUGAUGCUAGGAAAAUUGCUGCUAGAACAUGAAAGACUGAGGAUGUUGUGAUCACAUCUGAGUGCUCCUUGGAACCCCCUUCAGUGGCUGCUAAUUAACCGCGGAAGCACACCAGUAAUUUCUCAGGUUACAUACACAAAUGGAGAAUGACCUGGGAACUGCAGGAGAGGCCAGCACACACUAAGGUCCACAGAACAGCUUCCCAGAACUCCUCUGGGUCAAAAGCCAAUCAGAGCCAAAGAUUUUGAAGACUAGGGAGAGAUUUUGACACUAUCAACUGGAAAAACUCAUUGACAUAGGAGGACUCUUCACACAAAAAAGUUCUGGCUAUCGUCUCUAGAGUGAGAUUUUCCAUGUCCGAGCUAUGAGAUUGGAAGGAUCCUGCACUAUAAUUCAGAAAUGCUGCAAGUUUCAAAGAUGCCACUCUCAUUAAUAGCUUCCAGAAGAAAACUGAGUAAGGCAACAGGAGAAUUCAAGAUGGGGUCAAAUUGAAACUCAAAGCAUCAUCUGAAGAAGUAAAAUAUGCACCAGAGCAACCCCAUCUCCUGAUUGAGGCCCUCUGAAAAUGGCCCUGUUCAUUGCUCCAUCCCAUAGGAAGCAAGUCACUUAGUUACAGCCCACACUCAGGGGAGUGGAUUACAUGAGUGUGAACAUCAAGAGGCUGGGAUCAUUGGGAGCCAUAUCAGAAGUUGCCUUCCACAGACUAUUGCUACCAGUGAAGGCCAUGUGAGGACAUAAGCAGGAAGAGGGUCUUUAUGAAGAACCCAACCAUGCUGGCAUCCUAAUCUUGGACUUCUAGCCUCC